RNAcentral lists this transfer RNA (60 nucleotides) under Polyphemus pediculus. RNAcentral's name for it is "tRNA-Cys". Lineage: Eukaryota; Metazoa; Arthropoda; Branchiopoda; Diplostraca; Polyphemidae. The record is from RNAcentral.
GAAUGUGUAGUUUAUAAAAACAUAAGACUGCAAUUCUUAAGAAGAGUAUCUCCUCAUUCU